CCUACGGGAGACAGCAGUGAGGAAUAUUGGUCAAUGGGCGCGAGCCUGAACCAGCCAAGUAGCGUGAAGGAUGACUGCCCUACGGGUUGUAAACUUCUUUUAUAAAGGAAUAAAGUGAGGCACGUGUACCUUUUUGGAUGUACUUUAUGAAUAAGGAUCGGCUAACUCCGGUCCAGCAGCCGCGGUAAUACGGAGGAUCCGAGCGUUAUCAGGAUUCAUUGGGUUUAAAGGGAGCGUAGAUGGGUUGUUAAGUCAGUUGUGAAAGUUUGCGGCUCAACCGUAAAAUUGCAAUUGAUACUGGCAGUCUUGAGUACAGUUGAGGUAGGCGGAAUUCGUGGUGUAGCGGUGAAAUGCUUAGAUAUCACGAAGAACUCAGAUUGCGAAGGCAGCUUACUAAACUGCCACUGACAUUGAUGCUCGAAAGUGUGGGUAUCAAACAGGAUUAGAUACCCCGGUAGUC
This 460-nucleotide ribosomal RNA is filed under the name uncultured bacterium. RNAcentral describes it as "partial 16S ribosomal RNA". It matches the Rfam family "Bacterial small subunit ribosomal RNA", at positions 338 to 795 of the family's 1533-position model. The record is from RNAcentral.